RNAcentral lists this non-coding RNA (120 nucleotides) under uncultured Acetatifactor sp. Its description in RNAcentral is "FMN riboswitch (RFN element)". It matches the Rfam family "FMN riboswitch aptamer (RFN element)". From Rfam's summary of the family: The RFN element is a highly conserved domain that is found frequently in the 5'-untranslated regions of prokaryotic mRNAs that encode for flavin mononucleotide (FMN) biosynthesis and transport proteins. This element is a metabolite-dependent riboswitch that directly binds FMN in the absence of proteins. In Bacillus subtilis, the riboswitch most likely controls gene expression by causing premature transcription termination within the 5' untranslated region of the ribDEAHT operon and precluding access to the ribosome-binding site of ypaA mRNA. Lineage: Bacteria; Bacillati; Bacillota; Clostridia; Lachnospirales; Lachnospiraceae. The record is from RNAcentral.
UUCUUCGGGGUUGGGUGUAAUUCCCUACUGGCGGUAAAGUCCGCGACCCGCUGCAGGAAACUUCGGCGGCUGACUCGGUGAAAGUCCGGGACCAACAGUAAAGUCUGGAUGAAAGAAGAA